CAGUAGCCGCGGGAAUACGUAGGGUGCAAGCGUUAAUCGGAAUUACUGGGCGUAAAGCGUGCGCAGGCGGUUCGCUAAGACAGAUGUGAAAUCCCCGGGCUUAACCUGGGAACUGCAUUUGUGACUGGCGGGCUAGAGUAAGGCAGAGGGGGGUAGAAUUCCACGUGUAGCAGUGAAAUGCGUAGAGAUGUGGAGGAAUACCGAUGGCGAAGGCAGCCCCCUGGGCCAAUACUGACGCUCAUGCACGAGAGCGUGGGGAGCAAACAGGAUUAGAUACCCGAGUAGUCCCUGUCUCUUAUAC
RNAcentral lists this ribosomal RNA (301 nucleotides) under uncultured bacterium. RNAcentral describes it as "partial 16S ribosomal RNA". It matches the Rfam family "Bacterial small subunit ribosomal RNA", at positions 509 to 807 of the family's 1533-position model. The record is from RNAcentral.